This 469-nucleotide ribosomal RNA is filed under the name uncultured bacterium. Its description in RNAcentral is "partial 16S ribosomal RNA". It matches the Rfam family "Bacterial small subunit ribosomal RNA", at positions 28 to 507 of the family's 1533-position model. The record is from RNAcentral.
GACGAACGCUGGCGGCGUGCUUAACACAUGCCAGUCGAACGGAAAGGCCCUGCUUGCAGGGUGCUCGAGUGGCGAACGGGUGAGUAACACGUGGGUGAUCUGCCCCUUACUUUGGGAUAAGCCUGGGAAACUGGGUCUAAUACUGGAUAGGACCAUGCUGUAGGUGGUGUGGUGGAAAGAUUAGUUUCGGUAAGGGAUGAGCUCGCGGCCUAUCAGCUUGUUGGUGGGGUAAUGGCCUACCAAGGCGUCGACGGGUAGCCGGCCUGAGAGGGUGGACGGCGACAUUGGGACUGAGAUACGGCGCAGAAUCCUACGGGAGGCAGCAGUGGGGAAUAUUGCACAAUGGGCGCAAGCCUGAUGCAGCGACGCCGCGUGGGGGAUGACGGCCUUCGGGUUGUAAACUCCUUUCAGCCAUGACGAAGCCCUUGUGGUGACGGUAGUGGUAGAAGAAGCACCGGCUAACUACGUG